GACGAACGCUGGCGGCGUGCCUAAUACAUGCAAGUAGAACGCACAGUUUAUACCGUAGCUUGCUCCACCAUAAACUGUGAGUUGCGAACGGGUGAGUAACGCGUAGGUAACCUGCCUGGUAGCGGGGGAUAACUAUUGGAAACGAUAGCUAAUACCGCAUAAUAUUAAUUAUUGCAUGAUAAUUUAUUGAAAGAUGCAAUUGCAUCACUACCAGAUGGACCUGCGUUGUAUUAGCUAGUAGGUGAGGUAACGGCUCACCUAGGCGACGAUACAUAGCCGACCUGCGAGGCGGAUAGGCCAAGCUGGGACGGAGACACGGCCCAGACCACUACGGGAGGGAGCAGUAGGGAAUCUUCGGCAAUGGACGAAAGUCUGACCGAGCAACGCCGCGUGAGUGAAGAAGGGUGUCGGAUCGUAAAGCUCGGUUGUAAGAGAAGAACGGGUGUGAGAGUGGAAAGUGCACACUGUGACGGUAUCUGAACAGAAAGGGACGGCUAACUACGUG
RNAcentral lists this ribosomal RNA (505 nucleotides) under uncultured bacterium. RNAcentral's name for it is "partial 16S ribosomal RNA". It matches the Rfam family "Bacterial small subunit ribosomal RNA", at positions 28 to 507 of the family's 1533-position model. The record is from RNAcentral.